ACGGCUUAACUGUGAGCGUGCGGGCGAUACGGGCAGACUUGAGUACUGCAGGGGAGACUGGAAUUCCUGGUGUAGCGGUGGAAUGCGCAGAUAUCAGGAGGAACACCGGUGGCGAAGGCGGGUCUCUGGGCAGUAACUGACGCUGAGGAGCGAAAGCGUGGGGAGCGAACAGGAUUAGAUACCCUGGUAGUCCACGCCGUAAACGGUGGGUACUAGGUGUGGGUUUCCUUCCUUGGGAUCCGUGCCGUAGCUAACGCAUUAAGUACCCCGCCUGGGGAGUACGGCCGCAAGGCUAAGACUCAGAGAAAUUGACGGGGGCCCGCACAAGCGGCGGAGCAUGUGGAUUAAUUCGAUGCAACGCGAAGAACCUUACCUGGGUUUGACAUGCACAGGACGCCGGCAGAGAUGUCGGUUCCCUUGUGGCCUGUGUGCAGGUGGUGCAUGGCUGUCGUCAGCUCGUGUCGUGAGAUGUUGGGUUAAGUCCCGCAACGAGCGCAACCCUUGUCUCAUGUUGCCAGCGGGUAAUGCCUGGGGAUCUCGUGAGAGAUCUGUCCGGGGUCAAUCUCGGAGGAAGGUGGGGAUGACGUCAAGUCAUCAUGCCCCUUAUGUCCAGGGCUUCACACAUGCUACAAUGGCCGGUACAAAGGGCUGCGAUGCCGCGAGGUUAAGCGAAUCCUUUUAAAGCCGGUCUCAGUUCGGAUCGGGGUCUGCAACUCGACCCCGUGAAGUCGGAGUCGCUAGU
Molecule: ribosomal RNA, 742 nt
Filed under: uncultured Mycobacterium sp.
Lineage: Bacteria; Bacillati; Actinomycetota; Actinomycetes; Mycobacteriales; Mycobacteriaceae
Description: bacterial SSU rRNA
Rfam family: Bacterial small subunit ribosomal RNA
Source: RNAcentral